Molecule: ribosomal RNA, 696 nt
Filed under: uncultured bacterium
Lineage: Bacteria
Description: bacterial SSU rRNA
Rfam family: Bacterial small subunit ribosomal RNA
Source: RNAcentral
AGAGUUUGAUCCUGGCUCAGGACGAACGCUGGCGGCAGGCCUAACACAUGCAAGUCGCAAGAGAACACCCCUUCGGGGGUUAGUAAAGUGGCGAACGGGUGAGUAACGCGUAGACAAUCUGCCUCUAAGAAAGGGACAACUACGGGAAACUGUAGCUAAUACCUUAUAAUAUUGUGAGGCCGCAUGGCCUUUCAAUCAAAGCCUUUGGCACUUAGAGAUGAGUCUGCGUUGGAUUAGCUCGUUGGUGAGGUAACGGCUCACCAAGGCAGUAAUCCAUAGCUGGUCUGAGAGGAUGAUCAGCCACGCUGGGACUGAGACACGGCCCAGACUCCUACGGGAGGCAGCAGUGGGGAAUCUUAGGCAAUGGGGGAAACCCUGACCUAGCCAUGCCGCGUGGAGGAAGACACCCCUAUGGGGCGUAAACUCCUUUUCUACCGGAAGAAAACCCUGUUUUUCAGGGCUUGACGGUACGGUAGGAAUAAGCACCGGCUAACUCCGUGCCAGCAGCCGCGGUAAUACGGAGGGUGCAAGCGUUGUCCGGAAUCACUGGGUGUAAAGGGUGUGCAGGCGGGGCAGCAAGUCAGAGGUGAAAGCCCACGGCUUAACCGUGGAAGUGCCUUUGAAACUGCUGUUCUUGAGUCUCGGAGAAGUUGCUGGAAUUCGUGGUGUAGCGGUGAAAUGCGUAGAUAUCACGAG